GUGGGGGAGGUGGGGAACCGUGCGGUGGCGGGGCGCCGAUGGCAGCGUCAGCGUCCGUUCCUUCUGCGCCCGGCCCAGCGACUG
This 84-nucleotide microRNA precursor is filed under the name Myotis lucifugus (little brown bat). RNAcentral describes it as "miRNA (ENSMLUG00000020383.1)". Lineage: Eukaryota; Metazoa; Chordata; Mammalia; Chiroptera; Vespertilionidae. The record is from RNAcentral.